CGGUAACUCCGAGUCCGUCAACGGAUAGGAGUAACGGCUGUUUGGCACAGCCAUCGGUACGCCUGUUCGAUAAGUCGACGGGGAGAGUAGCCCCACAAGAACAGGUUGUCCCGUAGACCACAAUAUCCCAACGUGGGAAUCCCACGGCUGAAGCCGUGGGA
This 161-nucleotide non-coding RNA is filed under the name uncultured archaeon A07HR60. Its description in RNAcentral is "Sense overlapping transcript RNA 0042 (sot)". It matches the Rfam family "Sense overlapping transcript RNA 0042 (sot)". Rfam says of the family: It is associated with IS1341-type transposase (tnpB) genes, at the 3'-end in H. salinarum NRC-1. The tetraloop structural motif may be functional. The record is from Rfam by way of RNAcentral.